GUGAGUCAUCGAAUCUUUGAACGCACAUUGCGCCCGCUAGUAUUCUGGCGGGCAUGCCUGUUCGAGCGUCAUUUCAACCCUCAAGCCCUGCUUGGUGUUGGGGUCCUACAGCAAUGUAGGCCCUGAAAACUAGUGGCGGGCUCGCUAUAACUCCGAGCGUAGUAGUAAUAUCUCGUUUAGGAAGUGUAGCGGGUUCUUGCCGUUAAACCCCCCAUUUUAUAAGGUUGACCUCGGAUCAGGUAGGAAUACCCGCUGAACUUAAGCAUAUCAAUAAGCGGAGGA
RNAcentral lists this unclassified non-coding RNA (282 nucleotides) under Porosphaerella sp. RNAcentral's name for it is "partial contains 5.8S ribosomal RNA, internal transcribed spacer 2, and large subunit ribosomal RNA". The stretch from base 1 to 71 matches the Rfam family "5.8S ribosomal RNA", at positions 84 to 154 of the family's 154-position model. The record is from RNAcentral. Lineage: Eukaryota; Fungi; Ascomycota; Sordariomycetes; Chaetosphaeriales; Chaetosphaeriaceae.